Molecule: transfer RNA, 72 nt
Filed under: Camelus bactrianus (Bactrian camel)
Lineage: Eukaryota; Metazoa; Chordata; Mammalia; Artiodactyla; Camelidae
Also listed under: 2 other names
Rfam family: tRNA
About the family: Transfer RNA (tRNA) molecules are approximately 80 nucleotides in length. Their secondary structure includes four short double-helical elements and three loops (D, anti-codon, and T loops).
Source: Rfam by way of RNAcentral
AAGGGUAUAGCUCAGUGAUAGAGCACAUGCUUAGCUUGCAUGAGGUCCUGGGUUUAAUACCCAGUACCUCCU